UAGGAGCCAUCUAAUGGAAACGUACAAAUUCUAUUGAAAGGUUCCAGAGUAGGCGCUACAACGCCGAAAUGACCUUCUCACCCUUGUGUACUCACUAUGUUGCUUUGGCGGGUCGACCUGGUUCCGACCCAGGCGGCCGGCGCCCCCAGCCUUAACUGGCCAGGACGCCCGGCUAAGUGCCCGCCAGUAUACAAAACUCAAGAAUUCAUUUUGUGAAGUCCUGAUAUAUCAUUUAAUUGAUUAAAACUUUCAACAACGGAUCUCUUGGUUCUGGCAUCGAUGAAGAACGCAGCGAAAUGCGAUAAGUAAUGUGAAUUGCAGAAUUCAGUGAAUCAUCGAAUCUUUGAACGCACAUUGCGCCCUCUGGUAUUCCGGAGGGCAUGCCUGUUCGAGCGUCAUUUCAACCCUCAAGCUCUGCUUGGUAUUGGGCAACGUCCGCUGCCGGACGUGCCUUGAAGACCUCGGCGACGGCGUCCUAGCCUCGAGCGUAGUAAUAAAAUAUCUCGCUUUGGAGUGCUGGGCGACGGCCGCCGGACAAUCGACCUUCGGUCUAUUUUUCCAAGGUUGACCUCGGAUCAGGUAGGGAUACCGCUGAACUUAAGCAUAUCAUACGGGGG
This 617-nucleotide ribosomal RNA is filed under the name Phyllosticta capitalensis. RNAcentral describes it as "eukaryotic LSU rRNA". The stretch from base 245 to 398 matches the Rfam family "5.8S ribosomal RNA". Lineage: Eukaryota; Fungi; Ascomycota; Dothideomycetes; Botryosphaeriales; Phyllostictaceae. The record is from RNAcentral.